Molecule: RNA transcript, 8168 nt
Organism: Strigops habroptila (Kakapo)
Lineage: Eukaryota; Metazoa; Chordata; Aves; Psittaciformes; Psittacidae
Gene: KHDRBS2
Gene name: KH RNA binding domain containing, signal transduction associated 2
Exons: 12
Source: RefSeq, a predicted model, not a curated record
GGCCCCGCCUCCUUAGUUAAGGCCGGCGGUGGGCGGGGGUCGCUCAGUGGCGGGAGGAAGGGGGGGGCGGGGGUGCAAAGGCAGACCGUGGCGCGCGGGCACCGGCACCCGCUGACCCGCGCACGGCCCCCGUCACUCCCCCAGCCCCCGCGCGGCGCGGGGGUGAAGGCGGAGGCGGCGCCGCUACCGCUGAGGGCAGGGCAGCGCCCCGCCGCGGGAGUGGCGGGCGGGCGGCGCACCUGCGAGCGGCGAGACGAGCGAGGUGGGCGACGAGGAGCCGACCGGAGGCGCACAGCGAGCCGGCGCCCGCGCAGCCCGGCUCGGCGUGCUCAGGCGCCGCGGCCCCGAGGCGAUGGAGCAGGAGAAGUACCUGCCCGAGCUGAUGGCCGAGAAGGACAGCCUGGAUCCCUCCUUUGUUCACGCGAUGCGCCUCCUGGCAGACGAAAUUGAAAAAUUUCAGGGUUCUGAAGGCAAGAAGGAAGAUGAAGAAAAGAAAUAUCUUGAUGUUAUCAGCAACAAAAACAUAAAGCUGUCAGAAAGAGUUCUGAUCCCUGUCAAACAAUAUCCUAAGUUCAAUUUUGUUGGGAAAUUGCUUGGACCAAGAGGGAACUCCUUAAAGAGGUUACAGGAAGAAACAGGUGCAAAAAUGUCCAUCCUCGGGAAAGGAUCCAUGAGGGAUAAAGCUAAGGAGGAAGAACUAAGGAAAAGUGGAGAAGCCAAAUACGCGCACUUGAGUGAUGAGCUUCAUGUAUUAAUUGAAGUGUUUGCUCCACCUGGAGAGGCAUAUUCUCGUAUGAGUCAUGCCUUGGAAGAAAUAAAAAAAUUCCUCGUUCCUGAUUAUAACGAUGAAAUUCGCCAGGAGCAGCUGAGAGAACUGUCGUAUUUGAACGGUUCUGAGGAUUCAGCACGUGGACGGGGCAUUCGAGGAAGGGGGAUCCGUGUGCCACCUGCAGCUCCUUCAAGGGGACGUGGGGGUGCGAUUCCUCCUCCCCCGCCUGGACGAGGUGCCCAAGCACCCCGAGGAGCGCCAGUGACCCGUGGAGCCCUCCCCGUCCCUCCAGUGGCAAGGGGCGUCCCCACCCCUCGAGCAAGGGGCGCCCCGGCUGUCCCAGGCUACAGACCACCCCCGCCACCUGCACACGAGGCCUAUGAAGAAUAUGGAUAUGAUGAUGGAUAUGGGGGUGAAUAUGAUGAUCCAAGCUAUGAGGCAUAUGAUAACAGUUAUGCCACCCAAACACAAAGUGUGCCUGAAUAUUAUGACUAUGGUCACGGAACAAGCGAAGAGGCUUACGACAGCUACGCACAAGAAGAAUGGGCCACAACCCGUUCCAGCCUAAAGGCACCACCUCCAAGGUCAGCCAGAGGGGGUUACAGGGAACACCCCUAUGGUAGAUAUUGAAGGUCCUCCUCAUCUGUGACCUCAUCUCAAAGACAAUUAAUAGCCUGUGGUCUCCACAUAAACAGCAACAAGACAAGGGCUCACCCGCACUGGACAGCUAAGCAGCAGAUCUGCUGAGAAGUGGUCAGCUUUUUGGAGCCUUAGGGAAGUACUGUAGCUUUUGAAUGCUGUUCAGGGAAUUGGGAGUGUUCGACAUCAUUUGCAAUAAAUCAGUGGGAUCUGAAGGGCUGCGCCUCAGGUUGGGACUCCACAGCCCCCAAGUUCUGGACGUGUCACUACCACCCUCUUUAGUUUCCUAAAGCACUGAGACUUACGGUGAUCUUCUGGUCUAUCAGGUGAGCUAUGAUAUUUCUCUAUAUGUUUUUAUUUUUUGUCAAAUGUAUGAUAAUUCAGCUUACCUUAGUCUGAAAAAAUACUAUUUUAAACUAGUUCACCUUAUGUUUGUCAUUGAAAGAGAGCUCAUACACAGAUACCUAUUAUGCAUGUUACUUUGAGACAGGGUAAUUUAUAUAUGAUAUAUAUACAAUAUAACAUAUAAUUUCUUAUGCUCUGUUUCUGUGGUGAUGAAACAUAAUAUUUAAUCAUCUUGCUCACAGAAGUGACACAUAAGUAAUCAAACUAUAUUUGUGCAAUAUGUUGAACAUAGAAAUAGUUUUUAAAAAUGCCAAAUAUUUGGACUAAUCAACUUCCCUUGGAAUGAGUUAACUCAUUGAGAUGUUUAUGUUAAAAACAAAUUUUGCAGAUUCUGGGGUUUUUGCUCUAUUAUCCACUUGUUCGUCUAAAAAAACCUUGGUGUCUUCAUGAGCUGUUGUGAACAUGCACUUAUUAAUGUAUGUAAGGUUCAGUUAUGUAGCAACAUUGUAUAUGUUGCUGCAAACUAUGGACAAUGAAAACCAGUAAGAAAGUAAAUGUAUCUACAGCAGCAGAUAUUUGGCUGGAAAACAGUGAGCAAAAAAAGAGUCACACCACUAUUGUUUAAGACAGAUACAAAUAUUUAAUUCAAUCUCAUAUCCAGAAUGUAUUAGGUCUUGUGCAGAGAAGGGUAGCAAGGGGUCCUGUAAUUAAAGGCUGUGUCCUCUUGUAUAUACUAAAGAACAUCAUCUAAUUAUAUUAGAAAGUAUAAAUCUAACAUUUCCUAAAUCAUCUAAGCUAAAUUGUAGAAUGGUUUGGGUUGGAAGAGACCGUAAAGAUCUUUAAAAAUCAUAAAGUAUAUAUAUGGAAGUUGUAUUUUUCUGUAAUAAGCUUAAAAGAUCUUUAAUAAGAUCUUUAAUAAUCUUCAGUAAUAAGCUUUAGAGAUCUUUAAAGAUCGUAAAGAACAUGUGUGAAAGCUGUAUUUUUCUAUAAUAAGCAUUUUUAUAGCUAUAUGUCAUAUAAUAAUGCAGUUAUUGCAUUUAGUGAUUAGAAAUGAGCUUGUUUCUUUAGCAAACAGCAUGUGAAACAAAGGACCAUUUUCAGUUUUUGCGGAUGAUAGCUAGCAACAUCCCAAAGGUUUCGGCUAGCUGUCGAAAGCAAUAUAAACAGCUAAUGCGGAGUUACUCUGCAACUGCUCUGGCAGAUUACGUACAGUGGCAGCGCAAAUACUUGCAUUAAUCCUGCAUACACCAUCACUUCACAUACCUCUGGUACAGCCAGUCCUUCCCUUGCUCCUUCUGACUGUACAGUAGAAAACAGACCUGAAGCUUAGUCUCCUGCAUGCAGAACAGCAUGAAGUCCUCUUACAGGACUCCAUUCCUUGUCAUCGCAUGUUCUGAAAGUGAUGAUAUUUUUCUGCCAAUGCUAUUUUUGAAUUUGCUUUCUGCAAAUGAUAAUAAAAAUUUGAACUAUGCCUUGCUUUAGGUGUAGAUUUUUCUCUCCAAAAAGCUAAAAGAAUGUGGCCAAAAGCUAUUCAAAGUAACACAUCUCUAGAAUUGAGGAAAAAAACAGUAUAUUUUUCAAGAUUCCUCCUCCUAGUUAGAGCUGGAAAUAAACCCUAGGUCACAUUAUGCACACUCCAGUUUUAAGUAGGCUGUGAGUGAGAUAAUGAAAUGGGUGAAAAUAUGCAGGUUUUUUAAGGGUUUACUUACAUUAUGGUUAAGUGUGUUAACACUUUGUAACUAGUAAUCUAGGGCUCUUAGAAAUGUUUUUCACAUUACAAUGUGGAAUAAGAAGACUGACACCUCUAUUAUUAGUUGUGCUUUCCACAUAGCAGAUGGAAGGGGGAAGCUGUUUGCUUUAUAUCACACAGAAUGCUACUCAUCAGAACUAAAAUACCUUUACUUAUAUCCCAAUCUCCUAACCAUUGGACUACAUUUCCUAAAAAGGCUUAAAAGAGAGACUUGGAAGUAGUUGAUCAUUUUCACUCUUUGCCUAAAGAAAAUGAUUUAGUGUUCUCAGAAAUUCAGAGGAGUGAUUCCUUUUGGCUUAAUAACUUCAGGUUUUAAUAAGUGAAAAAGUUUUCCAGGAGGGUGGAAGACCCUACUUAUAUUUCUAGAAGAUUAACAGAAAUCUGCAGAAGAAGAAAGGGAAUUCUAAUUUUUCCCCAUCCUGAGCAGUCCAGAACUUCAUACUAAAAUACCAAGGUUCAUCUACUUCUGUGACUUCCUUUGCAUUUUCUGACUUUCUUGUUUUUCAGCUGUAUAUAUAUAUGUGUGUACGUGUGUACAUAUCCUCAGUUCAGGCCCGAAAGGCAAUUCAGCCCCUUUUCAGGUAUGUAUCAAAAGUUAAAUUGUGUAGAGUUGAGGGAACACAAGGUUUGACACAUAUGCUUGUCCUUGGAAUUUGAGGUAAGCCUGUUCUGUGCCCAGUGCUCUGCUGUGGAGCAAGAGAUUGAAAAGUGGGCGUAGAGAAGCACAGCCCAAUGCACAAGACCUUUGCUGUAAUGGAACAGGCUGUUCAAGGCCUUCACUUUGAGCUCCCCAUGUGCAGCAUUCACGUCAUGGAAGCUGGCCUAUGGAGUUACCCAGAAGUGGAUUUCCUGUACUUCUAUAACUAUCUUUGCUAAUUCUUCCUUCUGGUGGCUUUGUUGUUGAAUUGCUUGGUUUUUAAAGAAACGGGAUUAGUUUAGGGGAAGGCACUUCUGUUGAUAACCCUCAACAUUUUCAAAAGAUAGAAACUUCCAUCUUUAGCUGAGCAAUGAAGACAUACUUCUGUUUUCAGAAGUGCUGAAAGACUGCAGCUUUCACUAUCCUUAAAAUUCUCAAAAAUCAGGAGUAAUCACUGGCACACAAGAUCUAAAUAUCCUCAUCCAAAACACCUUUUAUGAAUGUCUUGUCUUGCAUCUUUAUACAGACACUGUGGAAAUUAACAUAGUACAGAUUUUGAAACAGCCAGCUGGUAUUAAUGAAAGCCAGAGAAGUAUUGAAGAUGCAUAUAUUACACUAAUAUUUCAGUAAUAACUUGAAUUGCAGCUGAAGUGAGCCUACUUUAUUUUUCUAAAAGCAUCACUAAUGACUGGGGUAUGCUGAUGUACUCAUGCACUGUAGCAAUAAUAUAUGAAAACAGCUAAGCAAAUAAGAUAAAUUAUAUAAGUAUAUGCAUUUUUCUAAAGGUAGGUAGAAUUAAAUGUUGGAGAAUAUUCAGCCUGAGGCUAAUAGAUACAAGAGAUCAUACUAGUAAUGAAUACUUUAAGCUGUUAGUUGAUCAUAGGUGUUACUGGUCAGUUCUGUAGCUACAUCUGUAACUGCUCUGCAGCAUGUAGGUUUGGGUACUAAGCUAUCCUUGUAGCACUGAUACAGAGAUAAAUGUUUAGUUAGGACUGGAUCUAGCCUUUAGGCUGUGUCAUGAACUCUCUUCUCUCAAAGUCAAAUAUUAUUUUUAGCUUUUAUUGACCUGACCAGCCGACUUCACUCAGCAUUUGUUCCCGGUCAAAUGCACUUCUACCCCUCUAAGUCUAAACUGGCUGACCAAAAAAGUUGUGGUCUCCGGACAUGGAAUGGAAUUUUAUUACUGAGGUUCACAAUGCAAAUCAUUGGAAGUUACAUAAUAAUGUGAAAGGACAUUCAAUUGAAAGGCUGUCAGAAGAUAAAAGUGUAUCAAGCUUCCCAGAGCAUUCAUAUUGCAACUCAUGGAGUUAGAUGACAUUGAAAGAGCAAUUCAGUGUUUAAUGCAUGCGCCUCUGAUGACUGUGCUCUUCCACAGCACUAGCUGUUGAAGUAUCAGUAACAAAGUCUGUAGCAUAGAAUUUAAUACAGGAGUUUUCCAUUAAAGAGGUUAGCUGUUGCAGUUUACAGUAACUUCCUUUCUAGCUCAGCUUAACCUGCUGAGGACACAGUACUUUGUCCUUGAAUAGGCAGGAUUGCAUUCAUCUUAUUCUUCCCACUGGAGCAGAGAAGAAGUAAAGUAUGAGUACAUCAGAAGCAAUGCACAACAAGUGAGUACCUGCAACAUAGGCAUGUAUUAUUAUUGGGUUGUUUUUUUUUAAAGGUCAAUCCAUAAUACAAGAGAAAUAAAAGCAAGUCUGUAACUGUCCUGAAAUUCUCUUAAAUGUGCAAUAACACCAUAAAAGAUGCCUGUAUUUACUACUAAUGAUAAAACUGCGGCAUUACACUAAUCAGAUUCAACUGCAUAAUUUUAAGUGAAGAGGUGCUUAUGAAAUGCAAAAUGAACUCCAGAAUGGAAGGUUCAUUGCUUCCUAAUCAAAAGCAGUCAGCUUUAAACACCAGCCAGUCAGGUGAUAAGUUUGUCGUUUUUCAGCUGCGCCCAUGGAGGGAAGUUGCCAAGAAGGCUUGACAGCCUUUGAACUUUGCACAGCAUUUUUUGCCUGUUUCUGAACAUCAUGUUGAUCUACAAAACUCCUGGGAGGCUGGGAGGAGAGGCAGAGUAACAGCAGUUCUAUUAAAAUGUAUUUGCAGCAAUGAAUGUCAAGCAGAGUUUGUGGUGUGAAAAAAUGUGUAGUUCCUUAAAAGAAAUUUUCACCACCCCUCAGGUCUGGUUCUUUCUUGUCUAAUUGUGUCCAGCUACUUUGGGGGACUGAGGAGUGUCAGUGAGUAAUUGCCUAGGUGUCAGAGAAGUGCAGGCAUGCAGUGCAUCAUUAAAAGCCAGAGAUCAGGAUGUCUGAAUUAAAAUGGGAGGCUCUGAGUCAAUAGAUUACUGCUAUAUACAAUUAACAGUACAAGCCAGAAAUCAUUUACUUUCAUAAUUUAGGACAAUGGCAGCUCUCCAGUGAAAACGUAUUUACAUUAGUUUUACGUUGCUUUCUACAGGCUUAGUACAAAAGGGAGAGACAAAAAUUAAUAUGCACCAAGGCAGUAAUAGAGAAACCUGUCUUUGAACUGUUCUUUCUUUUUAAUCAGCAUGAGCUCUGCUAAAUAGGGAAGAGAAUUAUGAGUAGGUGGAGAGCAUCUAGGUUACUGAGGGCAAAUCACUCUCAAGGGAAUAACUGCAAUUUGAGCAACAGAGUCUGACCUUUGCAUGACUUGGGAUGAACAGUCUUCUCUGUUUUAACCCAGCAUGAACACCAGUUGCAAAGGAACCAGCCUGAAGAUGCUCAAACAUCUUUCCCUAUGUGAAGGUCUGAUUUCCCCUUCUUUGGCAAUUAUACCGUUAUCCUGGAAGAAUUCUCUAAUGCUGACUAAGGUCUUCUAUUUCACAUCCUCAAGUGUGGGAGCUUACACGUAUUUUAGUAAUUUUUCAUAUUGUUUGAAGUCCCAUUAAGCUUCUGAGGUUCUUAAAUUGCUUCUUGGAGCUUUUUAUCAUGUAACUUGGGUUAUAAAAGUAGCACCAUAAACAUUAAUUGAACAGCCAUUAAGCAGUAUGGCUGUUUGUUUUGGGUUGGUAGAGGACGUAAAGCUUCAUACCCUGUGGUGGAAAACAAUUAGAUCUGAUGAUGAACAUGCUAUUAAAUAUACCAUUACCAGACUUCUAUCAGUUGAACUUUAGAAAACAGCAACCAGCUGUAGCCAAAGAAUACACAAGUGAAAGUCAUAUUUUAAUUGUCAUGUCAUAGCCUGUUAUAAAUAUUGUCGUUUCUAAUGUAUUAGGCUAAUGACAGUGACUAAUGGUAGUCAUUACCUCCGUUCAUUCUCAUAAAAAAUUUCCUCAAGAGAGGAUGAUCAUAACUAGAAUGCUGUUUAAACUGUGUUUUUCUAAAAUAGGGGACAUAAACAUUUAAAUACCAAGAGGUUGGAUAGCUAAUUUAUUUUGGUUUGAGUGUGUUUGACAACUACAGCUCUUGUUAAUUGUGCCAUGAGUUGAACAGAUACUCCUUUUGGAAAUGUUUUUGGCAAUCUAAUAUGUAUAUACAUGUCAUGUCUUCGUAUUUUCUCUGCAGGGUGGGAUAAAAGGUGAACCUCACAGCAAGAUAUCUGUGGCCAGAAAAAAAAAGUCUGAUGCCGCCCCUGUAGACCCUUAAUAUUAAGAACAUUGAAUUUCCUCAUCCAUUUCUUAUUUCAGUUAUGAAUUCUGCUUACUUGACAGGUACAGAGUACUUCAUUAUAUGCACAAACAGAAAUGCUUAAAUGGAUGAAGCAGCUAUUUUCGUCUGAUAGGAGCUAAGUGGGACAUUAAAUUAAUGCCAAACAAGUUCGUAAGACUUUAAUCAAGAAGUCAAAAAAAAAAGUAUCUAAUGAACAGCAAUUUGAAGCACAGCAUUCGGAAAGGUCAGAAUGGUACAUUACAUCCUUAUUAUCCAAAAGAACAGAUGAGUUUAAUAUCCUGGCAGCAUUUUCCUGUGAAGAAGAUAUUAAACAAGAACUGAAAAUGGCACAAGGUUUGCCUCUUUCUUUCUUCUGACAAAGACUGUAACAAGAUGAUUAAACUAUACAGAAUAAAUCUCUUUCUGAGUUAAUGUUCA